RNAcentral lists this ribosomal RNA (254 nucleotides) under uncultured bacterium. RNAcentral's name for it is "partial 16S ribosomal RNA". It matches the Rfam family "Bacterial small subunit ribosomal RNA", at positions 524 to 776 of the family's 1533-position model. The record is from RNAcentral.
UACGUAGGGGGCAAGCGUUGUCCGGAAUUAUUGGGCGUAAAGGGCGCGCAGGCGGCUGCUCAAGUCAGGCGUGAAAGGCCUGGGCUCAACCCGGGAAUUGCGUUUGAGACUGGGCUGGCUUGAGUGCGGGAGAGGAUGGUGGAAUUCCCAGUGUAGAGGUGAAAUUCGUAGAUAUUGGGAAGAACACCGGUGGCGAAGGCGGCCAUCUGGACCGCAACUGACGCUGAGGCGCGAAAGCGUGGGGAGCAAACAGG